UGCAUACUUAGACCAGAUUGGAAAAUCUGGGCAAACCACAUCACAUUCAACAAGCAGCAUUUGGCAGCAGCAGCUUUUAAGCAGCUUUUGGCAGUACUCUGGUUCUAAAAUUCCUACAAUACUACUGUUGGGUUAAAAGAUGUAACUAGAACAAUGGAGCAUGUAAGGAAGAUUUGAUCCCGGCAGCCAAGAAGCGACACCCCUGAACACCAUUUAAGAAGGACAAUAAUAGACAGGUGUUGGAUGGUGGAGAAAGAAGUUGGCGUUGAAGAUUUAAAAGGAAAGCUGGAAGCUGAAAAAAGUGCUUACAGUGUAUAUUAAUAAAUUAA
This is a long non-coding RNA of Pararge aegeria (speckled wood butterfly), 329 nucleotides long. RefSeq lists it as uncharacterized. The record is from RefSeq and is a predicted model, not a curated record. The transcript has 4 exons. NCBI's taxonomy places the organism in Eukaryota, Metazoa, Arthropoda, Insecta, Lepidoptera, Nymphalidae.